UACGUAUGGAGCAAGCGUUAUCCGGAUUUACUGGGUGUAAAGGGAGCGUAGACGGCAUGGCAAGUCUGAUGUGAAAACCCUGGGCUCAACCCGGGGACUGCAUUGGAAACUGUUAAGCUAGAGUGCAGGAGAGGUAAGUGGAAUUCCUAGUGUAGCGGUGAAAUGCGUAGAUAUUAGGAGGAACACCAGUGGCGAAGGCGGCUUACUGGACUGUAACUGACGUUGAGGCUCGAAAGCGUGGGGAGCAAACAGG
Molecule: ribosomal RNA, 253 nt
Filed under: uncultured Lachnospiraceae bacterium
Lineage: Bacteria; Bacillati; Bacillota; Clostridia; Lachnospirales; Lachnospiraceae
Description: partial 16S ribosomal RNA
Rfam family: Bacterial small subunit ribosomal RNA
Source: RNAcentral